GAUGAAGAACGUAGCGAAAUCCGAUAAGUAGUGUGAAUUGCAGAAUUCAGUGAAUCAUCGAAUCUUUGAACGCACAUUGCGCCCCUUGGUAUUCCAUGGGGCAUGCCUGUUCGAGCGUCAUUUGUACCUUCAAGCUCUGCUUGGUGUUGGGUGUUUGUCUCGCCUCUGCGUGUAGACUCGCCUCAAAAUAAUUGGCAGCCGGCGUAUUGAUUUCGGAGCGCAGUACAUCUCGCGCUUUGCACUCAUAACGACGACGUCCAAAAGUACAUUUUUACACUCUUGACCUCGGAUCAGGUAGGGAUACCCGCUGAACUUAAGCAUAUCAAUAAGCGGAGGA
Molecule: unclassified non-coding RNA, 337 nt
Filed under: soil metagenome
Description: partial contains 5.8S ribosomal RNA, internal transcribed spacer 2, and large subunit ribosomal RNA
Rfam family: 5.8S ribosomal RNA (bases 1-120)
Source: RNAcentral